UUCACAUAUAAGUUAUUGAAGAGAGCUAGAAGGAGAUUAAUGGACCGUGUACUGUACAUUUGUUCAUAAAUCUGAUCCAAUUACAGAUCAUGCUGGUCUACCAGUGAGAGUCCCAUCCAUGGCUGGAGAGAUGAGGACAGUAGUCCUUAUCCUAAGCUUCCUCCCAAGUAAGGCUAACCAAGGACCUUAUUAGUCUAUGGUUAUAAGACUUCUUAAUUUUACCGGAUAAGCAGCAGAGCCUUUGUGAGAGCAUCUGGAUAUCAUUAUUGGCCACCUUG
Molecule: non-coding RNA, 278 nt
Organism: Pelobates cultripes (western spadefoot toad)
Lineage: Eukaryota; Metazoa; Chordata; Amphibia; Anura; Pelobatidae
Source: the annotation of a GenBank genome assembly